GGACUACUCGGGUAUCUAAUCCCGGUCGCUCCCCUAGCUUUCGCGCCUGAGCGUCAAGGGCGGGCCAGCAGAUCGCUUUCGCCACUGGUGUUCCUUCCGGUAUCUACGCAUUUUACCGCUACACCGGAAAUUCCAUCUGCCUCUCCCGCCUUCAAGUCCCGAAGUUUCGAACGGCCUCUCCCAGUUGAGCCGGGAGCUUUCACAUUCGACUUUCAGGACCGCCUGCGCGCGCUUUACGCCCAGUAAAUCCGGACAACGCUCGCAACCUACGUAUUACCGCGGCGGCUGGCAC
This 292-nucleotide ribosomal RNA is filed under the name uncultured bacterium. RNAcentral's name for it is "partial 16S ribosomal RNA". The record is from RNAcentral.